GCUGCACCAAGUCAAAAGUUGGGGAAAGAAAAUUCUUGAAAACAGAAACAAAACUUUUUCAAGAUAAAUUAAGAAUCUUUCAACAACACUUUCACUUUUCUAAACCAUCAGUGGCUGUUAUGUGGGUUGGAGGCUCUACCACAUUUUGCUCUAAAAAGUUGCUCUCCGUAUCAAGUUCACAGUAUAGGACUCCAUUUCCAUCUAUAUCUUCA
Molecule: unclassified non-coding RNA, 212 nt
Filed under: Hevea brasiliensis (rubber tree)
Lineage: Eukaryota; Viridiplantae; Streptophyta; Magnoliopsida; Malpighiales; Euphorbiaceae
Source: RNAcentral